RNAcentral lists this microRNA precursor (196 nucleotides) under Oryza rufipogon (brownbeard rice). Its description in RNAcentral is "MIR812 microRNA precursor family". It matches the Rfam family "MIR812 microRNA precursor family". Lineage: Eukaryota; Viridiplantae; Streptophyta; Magnoliopsida; Poales; Poaceae. The record is from Rfam by way of RNAcentral.
AAAAAGACAAAUCUCGGGUUUCCAUGUCCAACGUUUAACUGUUCGUCUUAUAUAAUUUUUUUUUAUAAUUAGUAUUUUCAUUGUUGUUAGAUGAUAAAACAUGAAUAAUACUUUAUGGGUGACUUAUCUUUUUAAUUUUUUUCAAAUAUGACGGACGGUCAAACAUUAGACAUGGAAACCCAUGGUUUGCCUUUUU